RNAcentral lists this ribosomal RNA (376 nucleotides) under uncultured Legionella sp. RNAcentral's name for it is "bacterial SSU rRNA". It matches the Rfam family "Bacterial small subunit ribosomal RNA", at positions 283 to 651 of the family's 1533-position model. Lineage: Bacteria; Pseudomonadati; Pseudomonadota; Gammaproteobacteria; Legionellales; Legionellaceae. The record is from RNAcentral.
GUAGCUGGUCUGAGAGGAUGACCAGCCACACUGGAACUGAGACACGGUCCAGACUCCUACGGGAGGCAGCAGUGGGGAAUAUUGGACAAUGGGGGCAACCCUGAUCCAGCAAUGCCGCGUGUGUGAAGAAGGCCUGAGGGUUGUAAAGCACUUUCAGUGGGGAGGAGGGWUGAUAGGUUAAGAGCUAAUUAWUUGGACGUUACCCACAGAAGAAGCACCGGCUAACUCCGUGCCAGCAGCCGCGGUAAUACGGAGGGUGCGAGCGUUAAUCGGAAUUACUGGGCGUAAAGGGUGCGUAGGUGGUUAAUUAAGUUAUCUGUGAAAUCCCUGGGCUUAACCUGGGCAGGUCAGAUGAUACUGAUUGACUCGAGUAYGG